AUGUGGUCUCACCUUAGACAAAUGAGGUUGUACAAAAUUGACUCUGUUCACACAGCAGUGAAUGGGUACCCGCUGGGAUAACAUGGUCAUAUGACUGGU
This is a long non-coding RNA of Haliotis rubra (blacklip abalone), 99 nucleotides long. RefSeq lists it as uncharacterized. The transcript has 3 exons. The record is from RefSeq and is a predicted model, not a curated record. NCBI's taxonomy places the organism in Eukaryota, Metazoa, Mollusca, Gastropoda, Lepetellida, Haliotidae.